UACAACGCACUACCUGUUCAUAGUAGUCGUUGCUGUCAACAGCACACUGCUCACCAUCAACGCAGGGGACUACAUCUUCUACACAGACUGGGCGUGGACGUCCUUCGUUGUGUUCUCGGUGUCGCCGUGGACAAUUCUUGAUGUAGGAGCAAUAUACUUCAUGUUAUUCACAGCUGUACCAGGCACCAUCACAUUUUAUGCCACUUUCAUUAUCUUCACAUCCUCAGUGCAAACGGUCGCCUGUAUGUCUCGUAUUUACCCCACAUUCUUCGCCGGGCACCACGAUGCAACAAGCACGCGGCCUAACUGGUUGUCUUUAGUCUGGUUGGCCCAUCCUUCCCGCUGUUAAACAUGGUCAACAUGUUGCUUGUAAGGGACCCGCUCGAGGUGGCCUUCAAGUAGCCGAGACCGACUCUGCCCGCGUACAUGACGCCUAUAGAGCCUCAGGUAGGAAAGUUCUACAACUCGCCUGUCGCCCUGGGUUCAGGUGCCGGUGCAGUGCUAACGGUACCCAUCGCUGCGUUGGGUGCAAAACUAAACACGUGG
This 546-nucleotide ribosomal RNA is filed under the name uncultured Nitrososphaerota archaeon. RNAcentral describes it as "uncultured thaumarchaeote partial 16S ribosomal RNA". Lineage: Archaea; Thermoproteati; Nitrososphaerota. The record is from RNAcentral.